RNAcentral lists this unclassified non-coding RNA (248 nucleotides) under uncultured bacterium. RNAcentral's name for it is "16S-23S ribosomal RNA intergenic spacer". The record is from RNAcentral.
CUAAGGGAAAAGGUUGAAAAUUCACAGAUUAUUUAGUUUUGAGUGUUUAAGUAUUAAUUUUGCUUUUGCAAAAUUAUAUACCACCUUUUAAUAGGUAAAUACACUCAUAAUUGUACAUUGAAAAUUGAAUAACAAACACAACGCGAUAUUAGAAAAUAUCGUGAGCCAGACAGUAUAUGUUUAAAUAUAUACGAAAAUUAAGAGGUAAAGUAAACAAAAAGAUUUAAACAAUAUCUUAAAUGACAAAU